Molecule: ribosomal RNA, 211 nt
Filed under: Escherichia coli MP1
Lineage: Bacteria; Pseudomonadati; Pseudomonadota; Gammaproteobacteria; Enterobacterales; Enterobacteriaceae
Description: partial 16S ribosomal RNA
Rfam family: Bacterial small subunit ribosomal RNA
Source: RNAcentral
UUAAAUUGAAGAGUUUGAUCAUGGCUCAGAUUGAACGCUGGCGGCAGGCCUAACACAUGCAAGUCGAACGGUAACAGGAAGCAGCUUGCUGCUUUGCUGACGAGUGGCGGACGGGUGAGUAAUGUCUGGGAAACUGCCUGAUGGAGGGGGAUAACUACUGGAAACGGUAGCUAAUACCGCAUAACGUCGCAAGACCAAAGAGGGGACCUUC